CGUGACGGCCUCCGCCGCCAUGUUGUGCCUGGAGCGCGGCGUCGUUCGUGAGGUGCUGCGGCGGGGCCUGGGCGGAGCCUCUCCGCGGCUGCCGGGCAGCGGGGCGGACCUCACCGCAACGAGGAAGAGCGAGUACCGCAUAAAAAGUCCUGACAGCAAAGACAGACCUUGGCCGAGCUGGGUGUCUGCACUCAAGGCUACUGGAAAGUUUGGUAACUAGGAUGUGGAGAUAAAUAUAUGAGACUAUCCAAGCGAAGCAGUACUCCCCAGGCGAAGCAGUACUCCCCAGGUUACUUCAAAGCAGAACCUUUAAGAUAAGAAACGAAGAUGCAUACCAGUACCAGUCAGAAAGAGAUAAGAAGAAUGCUGGUGAAAGCAUCAUCGUUGGAACCUAUCCAGGACUCAAAAGGUGAAAAGUACACAGCGAGGAAGACGUCUUACUUCAUCUGAGGAAGACUACUUACUUCAUCUUGAGACCCCUGCCCACGACCACCAGGAGGCACUGCGCAAGCGCAGAACAUAUGGAAAUGACUUUUGUACUCAUUAUAAUACGAAGCGGGGAUAGGUCAUGAAUAUGUAUCAGCAUAGUGGGAAAGGUGAUGCAUAUGUAAUACUUUACAGGAUAAAUUGUGAGCACGUUGUAACGGUCUUCGGAACCAGAUUUGGGUGGGUACCCCUGGUUCCCGGGGCCUCGGAAUAAAGCACCACAUAUAACCUC
This is a long non-coding RNA of Strigops habroptila (Kakapo), 718 nucleotides long. RefSeq lists it as uncharacterized. The transcript has 2 exons. NCBI's taxonomy places the organism in Eukaryota, Metazoa, Chordata, Aves, Psittaciformes, Psittacidae. The record is from RefSeq and is a predicted model, not a curated record.